This 515-nucleotide ribosomal RNA is filed under the name uncultured bacterium. RNAcentral describes it as "bacterial SSU rRNA". It matches the Rfam family "Bacterial small subunit ribosomal RNA", at positions 36 to 524 of the family's 1533-position model. The record is from RNAcentral.
CUGGCGGCAUGCCUAUACAUGCAGUCGAACGCUUUGACUUCAUCGGGUGCUUGCACCCACCGAAGUCAAAGAGUGGCGGACGGGUGAGUAACACGUGGGUAACCUGCCCAUAAGAGGAGGAUAACAUUCGGAAACGGAUGCUAAUACCGCAUACUUCUAAUCGCCUCCUGGCGAAUGGAAAAAAGGUGGCUUCGGCUACCGCUUAUGGAUGGACCCGCGGCGUAUUAGCUAGUUGGUGAGGUAAUGGCUCACCAAGGCGAUGAUACGUAGCCGACCUGAGAGGGUGAUCGGCCACACUGGGACUGAGACACGGCCCAGACUCCUACGGGAGGCAGCAGUAGGGAAUCUUCCGCAAUGGACGAAAGUCUGACGGAGCAAUGCCGCGUGAGUGAAGAAGGUUUUCGGAUCGUAAAACUCUGUUGUUAGAGAAGAACAAGGAUGAGAGUAACUGCUCAUCCCCUGACGGUAUCUAACCAGAAAGCCACGGCUAACUACGUGCCAGCAGCCGCGGUAAU